This is a non-coding RNA of Punica granatum (pomegranate), 1354 nucleotides long. The record is from RefSeq and is a predicted model, not a curated record. NCBI's taxonomy places the organism in Eukaryota, Viridiplantae, Streptophyta, Magnoliopsida, Myrtales, Lythraceae.
AAAUGAAGGUUCUGGAGGCCUUCCCCUUCCCUUUUCUCCCUGGGACACAGACGCCAUCUGAGGAGCGGCGCAGGAAGCUCAGCUCCGAGGUGUCGAUUUCUUUCCCUUUUGAGUCUCCAACGUUGGAGAUGGGGGUUUCGACUCUGAGUACUGGGUCGGGAAGGAGUUCGUCGUCGUCAUCUGUGGAUUUGCGGUGAUUUGUGGGGGGAGGAGGUCUGUUUGGUUGUCAAAGUGGAGCCACAGUCCGUAUAGAUUCAAUGGCUCUGGUGUCUCUGAUGUGCAGUGGGCUUGGUCGUGGCCUAGGAUGCCAUAGUCGUAACAGAAAGUCUUAAGAUAUUCAUAUUUGAAGAACACCCAGGUAGACGUUCCGUUUUUCCAGUUGAUGCGUCGUCUAGGGCACAGAGGCAUGGCGACUGGGAUUUGAACAAGGGCUCUCAGGGUGACGUACCACUUCGGGAGAUAGGGAGUGUCUUUCCAAUCGAUCUCCAAGACUUUACCCGCCCGUUCGGCAAGUUUGGUGAUAUUCAGCUUUGAAAGCAUUUAGGGGGGAUACCUCUGAUCUGAAUCCAUAAGAUAAUCGUCUCGAAUUUGAUUUCCUCCGAUGAUAAACCCUUGUCCAAGCAUGCUAGCAUCAUGUGUGCUCCUUGAACCGACCAAACACGGAGUCUGGGGAUGAUUACUUUUGGUGGUGGUGAUUUGAAGCCAAAGGGCUUGAUGAGGAGUGUUAAGGGAAGUGUUUCCUGCGUUUCUUCUUCAUUAGUUUGCAGCUCGAGUACUUCUUGACUUUGAUCCAUGGUCAUUUGGUUGCAGAAUAUCUCGACUAAUGAGGCAUCAAGGUCGUUGUUCUCCAUAGGUGGUGGCAGUGGAGUAUCCUGUGGAUUCAGGGAGGAUUUGGGAGGGGUGGAGAGGAAGUGUGAUUGCUUGUCUGUGGGAGUUGCUUGUGGUGAAGAUUUUGUUGCGGUGUGAAGAAAGGUGGUGAUUGACAUUCCUUCCAUGCAUUGGGUAGUUGAAGGUCCAUGAAUGCUUUCAUGGAGGUGAAGAAUCGAAGAGAGGCAGACCGUUUCCAACAAAGGGAAAAUUUUAGAGAGAGAAGCUCUCAACUAGGAAAGAGAAUAAGAAACAAAAAUGAGAAAAGAGAUUAGAGAAAUUCCAUACACUGAAAAAAAGGGGCCCCUAAGGUGGAAUAGAAUUUUUACGAGGGCACAAGACAAUUCGAUCAAAAUAACAAACCCAAAUGGGACUUCAGGGACAAGAGCAUUCUUAGAAAGCUGAGAUUUUGUUAUGAGUUUGGUGGAACACUUUGAAUGAGAUUUCAGAAGUACGUGGCUAUACAAGGCCAAGAUUACAAGAGUAA